This 253-nucleotide ribosomal RNA is filed under the name uncultured bacterium. RNAcentral describes it as "partial 16S ribosomal RNA". It matches the Rfam family "Bacterial small subunit ribosomal RNA", at positions 524 to 776 of the family's 1533-position model. The record is from RNAcentral.
UACGAAGGGGGCUAGCGUUGCUCGGAAUGACUGGGCGUAAAGGGCGCGUAGGCGGUUUGGUUAGUUAGGCGUGAAAUUCCUGGGCUCAACCUGGGGGCUGCGCUUAAUACAGCCAGACUAGAGUGUGAGAGAGGGUCGUGGAAUUCCCAGUGUAGAGGUGAAAUUCGUAGAUAUUGGGAAGAACACCGGUGGCGAAGGCGGCGACCUGGUUCAUUACUGACGCUGAGGCGCGAAAGCGUGGGGAGCAAACAGG